ACUACGGGAGGCAGCAGUGAGGAAUAUUGGUCAAUGGGCGCGAGCCUGCACCAGCCAAGUAGCGUGAAGGAUGACUGCCCUACAGGUUGUAAACUUCUUUUAUAAAGGAAUAAAGUGAGGCACGUGUGCCUUUUUGUAUGUACUUUAUGCAUAAGGAUCGGCUAACUCCGUUCCAGCAGCCGCGGUAAUACGGAGGAUCCGAGCGUUAUCCGGAUUUAUUGUGUUUAAAGGGAGCGUAGAUGGGUUGUUAAGUCAGUUGUGAAAGUUUGCGGCUCAACCGUAAAAUUGCAAUUGAUACUGGCAGCCUUGAGGACAGUUGAGGUAGGCGGAAUUCGUGGUGUAGCGGUGAAAUGCUUAGAUAUCACGAAGAACUCCGAUUGCGAAGGCAGCUUACUAAACUGCCACUGACAUUGAUGCUCGAAAGUGUGGGUAUCAAACAGGAUUAGAUACCCUUGUAGUC
This 460-nucleotide ribosomal RNA is filed under the name uncultured bacterium. Its description in RNAcentral is "partial 16S ribosomal RNA". It matches the Rfam family "Bacterial small subunit ribosomal RNA", at positions 338 to 795 of the family's 1533-position model. The record is from RNAcentral.